RNAcentral lists this long non-coding RNA (261 nucleotides) under Carica papaya (papaya). RNAcentral describes it as "long non-coding RNA (CPAP_LNC011252)". The record is from RNAcentral. Lineage: Eukaryota; Viridiplantae; Streptophyta; Magnoliopsida; Brassicales; Caricaceae.
AGGAAAGUGGCCAUGAACUCGGCGAUUCCUGCUCUGUAAAACGACCAGGAGGUCAGCUCUCCCGGCUCGAACAGCGGCGCCGGCGGUGGUUCCUUGUAGUCCUUCCCGCCAUCUUGGCUCUGAGCGGCCGUACCAAUCGGCUGCCGCUCCGAGUACUUGUUGGCUCCGAGUCUUACGUCCUCUUCUUUGCCUUCCAUUGUUGCUCUGCUUCAAGGUAAAGUGGAAAACACAGUCGCUGUGGUUGGGGGGUUUAUGGCCGAC